UACAGAGGGUGCAAGCGUUAAUCGGAAUUACUGGGCGUAAAGGGUGCGUAGGUGGUUGAGUAAGUUGGAUGUGAAAGCCCUGGGCUUAACCUAGGAAUUGCGUUCAAAACUGCUUAGCUAGAGUAGAGUAGAGGGGAGUGGAAUUUCCGGUGUAGCGGUGAAAUGCGUAGAUAUCGGAAGGAACACCAGUGGCGAAGGCGACUCCCUGGAUUCAUACUGACACUGAGGCACGAAAGCAUGGGUAGCGAACAGG
RNAcentral lists this unclassified non-coding RNA (253 nucleotides) under uncultured Gammaproteobacteria bacterium. Its description in RNAcentral is "contains 16S-23S intergenic spacer region". It matches the Rfam family "Bacterial small subunit ribosomal RNA", at positions 524 to 776 of the family's 1533-position model. Lineage: Bacteria; Pseudomonadati; Pseudomonadota; Gammaproteobacteria. The record is from RNAcentral.